Molecule: transfer RNA, 77 nt
Filed under: Crocinitomicaceae bacterium TMED114
Lineage: Bacteria; Pseudomonadati; Bacteroidota; Flavobacteriia; Flavobacteriales; Crocinitomicaceae
Description: tRNA-Arg
Rfam family: tRNA
About the family: Transfer RNA (tRNA) molecules are approximately 80 nucleotides in length. Their secondary structure includes four short double-helical elements and three loops (D, anti-codon, and T loops).
Source: RNAcentral
GGUCCCGUAGCUCAACUGGAUAGAGCAUCUGCCUUCUAAGCAGACGGUUUCGGGUUCGAGUCCCGACGGGACUGCAA